This 389-nucleotide ribosomal RNA is filed under the name uncultured soil bacterium. RNAcentral describes it as "bacterial SSU rRNA". It matches the Rfam family "Bacterial small subunit ribosomal RNA", at positions 26 to 416 of the family's 1533-position model. The record is from RNAcentral.
AGAUUGAACGCUAGCGGGAUGCUUUACACAUGCAAGUCGAACGGCAGCGCGGACUUCGGUCUGGCGGCGAGUGGCGAACGGGUGAGUAAUAUAUCGGAACGUGCCCAGUAGCGGGGGAUAACUACGCGAAAGCGUGGCUAAUACCGCAUACGCCCUACGGGGGAAAGGGGGGAUUCUUCGGAACCUCUCACUAUUGGAGCGGCCGAUAUCAGAUUAGCUAGUUGGUGAGGUAAAGGCUCACCAAGGCGACGAUCUGUAGCUGGUUUGAGAGGACGACCAGCCACACUGGGACUGAGACACGGCCCAGACUCCUACGGGAGGCAGCAGUGGGGAAUUUUGGGACAAUGGGGGAAACCCUGAUCAGCCAUCCCGCGUGUGCGAUGAAGGCC